UUACAUUUUAUAAUUAACAAUAUUUUAGUGGUUUAAAAUCUACUAACAAAGAGAAUAUAUUUUAUAAAUUAAUAAAAUAUAAUAUAAUAAAUAAUUUAAUAAUUAAUAUAUAUAUAUAUAUAUGUAUGUAUAUAUAAUAAUAUAAAUCUAUCCUCUACUUCAUAAGAGGAUAUGUAGGCUUAGAAUCAGUCUUCAUUUAAUUUCGUAAUUGUUUAUAUUUAUUUAAUAAAAAUUUAAUUCAAUUUAAUUUUUUAUUAGGUUUUAAAUUUUAAUUUAUAAAAUUUAAUAAUAAUGAUUUAAUUAGUAUAAUGAAUAUAAAUUUUAUAGUAAUUCGGCAAAAAUUAUUUUUCACCUGUUUAUCAAAAACAUGGUUUUUAGUAUUUAUUUUAAAGAUCUAAUCUGCCCAAUGAAUAAUUUUAAUGGCCGCGGUAAUUUGACCGUGCAAAGGUAGCAUAAUAAUUAGUCUUUUAAUUGGAGUCUAGAAUGAAUGAUUGAAUGAAAAAAUAACUUUCUUUAUAAUUAAAUUAUAAUUUAAUUUUUAAGUGAAAAAGCUUAAAUUUUUCUGUGGGACGAUAAGACCCUAUAGAACUUUAAAUUUAUUAAAAUUACAUAUCUUUUGGUUAAAAAUAUUUAUGUAAUUAAAAUAAUUUUUUUAUUGGGGUGAUAGAAUAAUUAAUUAAACUUUUUCUUAUUUUUUCAUAAAUUUAUGUUAUUUUGAUCCAAUAAUAUUGAUUGAAAGACUAAGUUACCUUAGGGAUAACAGCGUAAUUUUGUUGGAGAGUUCAUAUUAAUAACAAAGUUUGCGACCUCGAUGUUGGAUUAAGAAAAAAUAAAGGGGUAGAUUUUUUUAUUUUAGGUCUGUUCGACCUUUAAAUUCUUACAUGAUCUGAGUUCAGACCGGCGUAAGCCAGGUUGGUUUCUAUCUUUAGACUAAAUAAUUAUUUUAGUACGAAAGGACCAAAUAAUA
This 967-nucleotide ribosomal RNA is filed under the name Peuceptyelus minutus. RNAcentral describes it as "partial 16S ribosomal RNA". The stretch from base 756 to 914 matches the Rfam family "Archaeal large subunit ribosomal RNA", at positions 2542 to 2701 of the family's 2987-position model. The record is from RNAcentral. Lineage: Eukaryota; Metazoa; Arthropoda; Insecta; Hemiptera; Aphrophoridae.